UCUGCUCGAGCCUCCUCACGUCCUGUUCCAAAAUAUAAAAUUAAUUUCCCCAACCAAUAAUCCAAUAUUUAAUCAAAAUAGGCAAAAUUACCCGAGAGCCAUAAAUACGCUCAUCAUUGCCUAACUUCGAUAUUCUUAAAUCGGAACGAUCCGAACUUAAAUAUCAUAUUCAACAGUCGUAAAUACAACCUCCCCAAAAUACGACUUAAAUCCUACGGCCGGAUUCUACAUUAAUUAACCGCUAAAAAUACCAAACUUCGGAAAUUCACAAACCUAUCCAAAUCUCAUCCAAAAAUUCCAUAAUUCACAUCAAUAUACUCCUCUUAAUAUUCCACACUUAAAACCCUAAAAAUCUCCUAACCGGCGGCGGCGCCGCCGGUGGCUCCGCCGGCAGCGGCGGCCGGAGGCCAAUUCCAGCGACCUCCAAAACCUAUGAAAUUUUGACAGAAUAAUCUCCUCAUCAUGCUCUACAACUUUCUUGACCAACACAUCACCUAAUUCCAGGCCUAACUAGGCUAAUCGAACAAAAACAUCCUAAAAGCCCUAGAAAUUUCAACUCCACAUUUCUCCUUACCUAACUCAAGAGGGAGUGAGCUGAUUGGAGGGGUUGUUGCACGGGAGGAGGGCUACAAAACGAGCCAAGGAUCACCGGUUUUGGUGGCCGGAGGAGGGAGCUCUGGCGAGAGAACCACCACGGCAGCUAGCGGCUCCGGGCGACGUUUCUCUCUCACGGCGGCACUAGGGAAGCUGCUACCGGCCUAGAAUGGAAGUUGGGUUGGAGACCGAUCGAUUGGGACCGGUGCGGCGGUCUGGGGCGGCCGGACGGCGGCGGUCGGGCGGUCGGAAUUCCGGCAGGGAAAGGCUCGGGUGCGGGAGCGGGAGAGGAGAGAGAGAAUCGGGAGAAAAAGAGAGGAAAAGAGAAUGGGUUUGGGCCUCACACCCCAAACCGGUCCAUCACCUAUAUACUACCCAAUUCUAAAAUAAAACACCCCGAAAAAUAAUACCCGAAUAAAAAUUACCUUUUACUAGCUAAAAUUUACUAUUUUUACCGUCGUCGUAUUUUCCUCUCACGAAUAAUCCUCAGCACAAUAAUCGUCCCCGAAACCCCUCUAGGGACCAAUUAAGCUAUUAACUCAAUGAUCGAGACGGUAAAAUUCUUAUUAUAAUCACGGUAGUAAAUAAGGUA
Molecule: long non-coding RNA, 1186 nt
Filed under: Fragaria vesca (wild strawberry)
Lineage: Eukaryota; Viridiplantae; Streptophyta; Magnoliopsida; Rosales; Rosaceae
Description: long non-coding RNA (FVES_LNC004602)
Source: RNAcentral